Molecule: transfer RNA, 92 nt
Filed under: Felis catus (domestic cat)
Lineage: Eukaryota; Metazoa; Chordata; Mammalia; Carnivora; Felidae
Rfam family: tRNA
About the family: Transfer RNA (tRNA) molecules are approximately 80 nucleotides in length. Their secondary structure includes four short double-helical elements and three loops (D, anti-codon, and T loops). Further hydrogen bonds mediate the characteristic L-shaped molecular structure. tRNAs have two regions of fundamental functional importance: the anti-codon, which is responsible for specific mRNA codon recognition, and the 3' end, to which the tRNAs corresponding amino acid is attached (by aminoacyl-tRNA synthetases). tRNAs cope with the degeneracy of the genetic code in two manners: having more than one tRNA (with a specific anti-codon) for a particular amino acid; and 'wobble' base-pairing, i.e. permitting non-standard base-pairing at the 3rd anti-codon position.
Source: Rfam by way of RNAcentral
GCCUGGGUGGCUCAUUCAGUUGAGCGUCUGACUCUUGAUUUCAGCUCAGGUCAUGAUCUCACAGUUUGUGGGUUCAAGUCCCACGUCAGGCU